This is a non-coding RNA of Acanthosepion pharaonis, 99 nucleotides long. The record is from the annotation of a GenBank genome assembly. Lineage: Eukaryota; Metazoa; Mollusca; Cephalopoda; Sepiida; Sepiidae.
GUUGAAACACCGGUUCCCGUACGAUCACCGAAGUUAAGCAACGUCUGUCUUGGGCAGUACCUAGAUGAGAGUCCGCUUGGGUAUACCAGAUGCUGUAUU